Molecule: ribosomal RNA, 516 nt
Filed under: uncultured bacterium
Lineage: Bacteria
Description: partial 16S ribosomal RNA
Rfam family: Bacterial small subunit ribosomal RNA
Source: RNAcentral
GAUGAACGCUGGCGGCGUGCCUAAUACAUGCAAGUCGAACGCAUUGAGAGAAGUGCUUGCACUUUUCAAUUUGAGUGGCGAACGGGUGAGUAACACGUGGGCAACCUACCUGAUAGCGGGGGAUAACGAGUGGAAACAUUCGCUAAUACCGCAUAACAAUAGAGAAGGCAUCUUCUUUAUUUAAAAGGCGCUUUCAAGCGUCACUAUCAGAUGGGCCCGCGGUGCAUUAGUUAGUUGGUGGGGUGAAGGCCUACCAAGACGAUGAUGCAUAGCCGAGUGAGGAGACUGAGCGGCCACAUUGGGACUGAGAACAGGCCCAAAGUCCUACGGGAGGCGGCAGUAGGGAAUCUUCCACAAUGGACGAAAGUCUGAUGGAGCAACGCCGCGUGUGUGAUGAAGGCUUUCGGGUCGUAAAGCACUGUUGUAUGGGAAGAAAUGCUAGGCUAGGAAAUGAGCUUAGUUUGACGGUACCAUACCAGAAAGGGACGGCUAAAUACGUGCCAGCCGCCGCCGUAA